This 277-nucleotide unclassified non-coding RNA is filed under the name Exophiala alcalophila. RNAcentral's name for it is "partial internal transcribed spacer region". The stretch from base 1 to 46 matches the Rfam family "Eukaryotic small subunit ribosomal RNA", at positions 1786 to 1831 of the family's 1831-position model. The record is from RNAcentral. Lineage: Eukaryota; Fungi; Ascomycota; Eurotiomycetes; Chaetothyriales; Herpotrichiellaceae.
AAGUCGUAACAAGGUUUCCGUAGGUGAACCUGCGGAAGGAUCAUUACCGAGUUAGGGUCCUCUGGGCCCGAUCUCCCAACCCUUUGUUUAUUAUACCUUUUGUUGCUUCGGCGAGCCCGUUGUCUCACGACGACCGCCGGAGGACCGCUUAACGGCGUCCUCUGGUCCGCGCCCGCCGAUGGCGCCAAAAUCUCAAAAUUCUUGUAUGAAUCGUGUCUUUACCUAAGUCUUGAUUUAAUCAAAAACAAAACUUUCAACAACGGAUCUCUUGGUUCUG